This 247-nucleotide ribosomal RNA is filed under the name uncultured bacterium. RNAcentral's name for it is "partial 16S ribosomal RNA". It matches the Rfam family "Bacterial small subunit ribosomal RNA", at positions 796 to 1041 of the family's 1533-position model. The record is from RNAcentral.
CACGCCGUAAACGAUGGAUGCUAGAUGUUUGGAGGUAUCGACCCCUUCAGAAUCGAAGCUAACGCGUUAAGCAUCCCGCCUGAGUAGUACGAACGCAAGUUUAAAACUCAAAGGAAUAGACGGGGACCCGCACAAGCGGUGGAGCGUGUUCUUUAAUUGGAUGAUAAGCCAAGAACCUUACCCAGGUUUGACAUCCUGCGAAGGACUCCGAAAGGAAUCUGUGCUUUUUGAACGCAGUGACAGGUGU